AGAGGAGCAACAGCAAGGCACAAGGAUUACUACACUGAGCAUGAUGUCCCCCAGGCUCAUCCAUGUUGUAGCGUGUGCCAGGGUUUCCCUCCCUGUUAAGGGUGUCGCCAGGGAGGUCCCGGGAUCUUAGGAGCCACAGAGGGCCGAUCAGGAUGAACAAACGUCAGUCGGAGCCCCAGUGAUGCACUGCGGGAUCCCUGUCUCAGUCCUGCCUAGAUGAUGUGCAGGCCUCGGCAAAGUGCGGAGCUGCCUCGGCCUGCAGAGGUCCAAAUCACCUCCUCAUUUAGAGGGACUAUGUCUCUAGAGAGAAGAAGACAUGCCAAAAACGAAAACCUCACAGGAGCUUUUUGUCCACUUGCAAGCGAAGUACAGACGUGUUUGAGACGGUGGAUGGACUUUUUUUUUUUUCCUUUUCUCUCUUUCCAAAAUCCGGACACACCAUGGCCCAGUGACGGAGAAGAAGUUGAGGACCUGGCAAGGAUCUUCUUUCUUAGGAGUCGUGGAGGGCUGACCAGUCUCAAUAAAGCACCGGGGAGCCCACGUGACCCAGCAUCUGGGUGGCAGCUUGUGGACAAUCUGCAGCUCAUCUGGAUCACACAGCUCAGCUGAACUCACAGCUGGAGGCCCAGCACUGCCCAGGGGCUGGCGGCCAUCCUGUUUGGGUGGGGCUCUGCAGGAUGGGGAACCACACGACGGUCUCCCUGGGAGCCUGGGAAAAGGGAGGGUCCACAGAUUACAAGGGGACAAGAGCCUGUUGGACAAAAAUGACCGAGUGGGAAGCUGCCUAGCUCUGACCAGGUCUGGGAACACAUUGGGAUUGGAAGUCAUCUAAAUAUAGCCUGUUUAUAGUCUGUGAUCUGACUUUCUCAGGCACUGUUUGUAUGAGAGCUGGUAACUACAGCACAGUUUUUCUAAACUGGUCAUUUUCUACACUAACUUUUUAUUUGCAUUUGAAAUGAUUUUUAUUAUUGGCACCAGAGAAUUAAAACCUCAGACUAUGGCUGUGGCUGAAAGCUACGCACAGCUUUCCAUAACAUCUUAAUUUAUCAGCCUGUUUGGGUGUUUGAACAUUUAAAGCAAGCAGGAUAAAAGAAUCUGAAGGGAUUGCUUCUUUUCACAUCUCAUCAUUCAUCCGACUUUGUGUUUAACUGUUCAGUUCAGUUCACUGAAUGUCUGUAUUAAUGCUUCACUCAUCCACAGAGGUGUAAAUAUGAAUGACAGUGUGUGCCCAUUCAAAGGCACAGUGGGAAGAAGAUAAUCCCAUAGUCUUGGGACCAUAGGGCCACCAAAUACCUGCACCACAAAGGAGUAAAGAGACUUAGUAGUCUCUUUAGCCAUCGCUGCAGCCAUUCCCCAGGUUUCAGGAAUCAACGUCUUCAUUUGCUUUCAUUCUUUCUCUUACUCAGUGGUCCCCUCAACCACGGCCAUGGCUAUCUCUGAGAAUCCCCUGGGCAGAUUUUCAAAGUUCCAUGCCCAGCCAUGCCCAGGAUGCACCCCAGACCAGUCAUCAGGUCCCGACCCGUGGGGUGGCUCUGCGAAAGCUCCCUGGUGGAUUCUCAAGUUGUACUGGGUGGAGACUGCCGCCUAGCAGGCCAUAGCACAGGGAACUCCAGAGCUAAUCUAACCCUGCAGAUAGGGAACAAAAGCAACAAAACAUUUUAAAAUAAAAUAACGGAGC
Long non-coding RNA from Macaca mulatta (Rhesus monkey), 1678 nucleotides. NCBI's taxonomy places the organism in Eukaryota, Metazoa, Chordata, Mammalia, Primates, Cercopithecidae. The record is from Ensembl.